AGUGAACGCUGGCGGUAGGCCUAACACAUGCAAGUCGAACGGCAGCACAGUAAGAGCUUGCUCUUACGGGUGGCGAGUGGCGGACGGGUGAGGAAUACAUCGGAAUCUACUUUUUCGUGGGGGAUAACGUAGGGAAACUUACGCUGAUACCGCAUACGACCUACGGGUGAAAGCAGGGGAUCUUCGGACCUUGCGCGAUUGAAUGAGCCGAUGUCGGAUUAGCUAGUUGGCGGGGUAAAGGCCCACCAAGGCGACGAUCCGUAGCUGGUCUGAGAGGAUGAUCAGCCACACUGGAACUGAGACACGGUCCAGACUCCUACGGGAGGCAGCAGUGGGGAAUAUUGGACAAUGGGCGCAAGCCUGAUCCAGCCAUACCGCGUGGGUGAAGAAGGCCUUCGGGUUGUAAAGCCCUUUUGUUGGGAAAGAAAAGCAGCAGGUUAACACCCCGCUGUUCUGACGGUACCCAAAGAAUAAGCACCGGCUAACUUCGUG
This 492-nucleotide ribosomal RNA is filed under the name uncultured bacterium. RNAcentral describes it as "partial 16S ribosomal RNA". It matches the Rfam family "Bacterial small subunit ribosomal RNA", at positions 29 to 507 of the family's 1533-position model. The record is from RNAcentral.